UGUCUGGGAAACUGCCUGAUGGAGGGGGAUAACUACUGGAAACGGUAGCUAAUACCGCAUAACGUCGCAAGACCAAAGAGGGGGACCUUCGGGCCUCUUGCCAUCGGAUGUGCCCAGAUGGGAUUAGCUAGUAGGUGGGGUAACGGCUCACCUAGGCGACGAUCCCUAGCUGGUCUGAGAGGAUGACCAGCCACACUGGAACUGAGACACGGUCCAGACUCCUACGGGAGGCAGCAGUGGGGAAUAUUGCACAAUGGGCGCAAGCCUGAUGCAGCCAUGCCGCGUGUAUGAAGAAGGCCUUCGGGUUGUAAAGUACUUUCAGCGGGGUGGAAGGGAGUAAAGUUAAUACCUUUGCUCAUUGACGUUACCCGCAGAAGAAGCACCGGCUAACUCCGUGCCAGCAGCCGCGGUAAUACGGAGGGUGCAAGCGUUAAUCGGAAUUACUGGGCGUAAAGCGCACGCAGGCGGUUUGUUAAGUCAGAUGUGAAAUCCCCGGGCUCAACCUGGGAACUGCAUCUGAUACUGGCAAGCUUGAGUCUCGUAGAGGGGGGUAGUAUUCCAGGUGUAGCGGUGAUAUGCGUAGAGAUCUGGAGGAUACCGGUGGCGAAGGC
RNAcentral lists this ribosomal RNA (611 nucleotides) under uncultured Pseudomonadota bacterium. Its description in RNAcentral is "bacterial SSU rRNA". It matches the Rfam family "Bacterial small subunit ribosomal RNA", at positions 114 to 722 of the family's 1533-position model. The record is from RNAcentral. Lineage: Bacteria; Pseudomonadati; Pseudomonadota.